RNAcentral lists this ribosomal RNA (301 nucleotides) under uncultured bacterium. Its description in RNAcentral is "partial 16S ribosomal RNA". It matches the Rfam family "Bacterial small subunit ribosomal RNA", at positions 509 to 809 of the family's 1533-position model. The record is from RNAcentral.
CAGUAGCCACGGUAAUACGAAGGGUGCAAGCGUUACUCGGAAUUACUGGGCGUAAAGCGUGUGUAGGUGGUUGUUUAAGUCUGUCGUGAAAGCCCUGGGCUCAACCUGGGAAUUGCGAUGGAUACUGGGCGACUAGAGUGCGGUAGAGGAUAGUGGAAUUUCCGGUGUAGCAGUGAAAUGCGUAGAGAUCGGAAGGAACAUCUGUGGCGAAGGCGACUAUCUGGGCCAACACUGACACUGAGACACGAAAGCGUGGGGAGCAAACAGGAUUAGAUACCCGCGUAGUCCCUGUCUCUUAUAA